This 208-nucleotide ribosomal RNA is filed under the name uncultured Staphylococcus sp. RNAcentral describes it as "partial 16S ribosomal RNA". It matches the Rfam family "Bacterial small subunit ribosomal RNA", at positions 151 to 354 of the family's 1533-position model. Lineage: Bacteria; Bacillati; Bacillota; Bacilli; Caryophanales; Staphylococcaceae. The record is from RNAcentral.
CUGAACGGAGCUAAUACCGAUAAUAUUUUGAACCGCAUGGUUCAAAAGUGAAAGACGGUCUUGCUGUCACUUAUAGAUGGAUCCGCGCUGCAUUAGCUAGUUGGUAAGGUAACGGCUUACCAAGGCAACGAUGCAUAGCCGACCUGAGAGGGUGAUCGGCCACACUGGAACUGAGACACGGUCCAGACUCCUACGGGAGGCAGCAGGC